UCGGUUUAGUAUAUGUUUAUUACGUGAAAUUGUAAAUUUUGAGAUAGAGUUUUUCUAGCCGAA
RNAcentral lists this transfer RNA (63 nucleotides) under Trichobilharzia szidati. Its description in RNAcentral is "tRNA-Tyr". Lineage: Eukaryota; Metazoa; Platyhelminthes; Trematoda; Strigeidida; Schistosomatidae. The record is from RNAcentral.